Molecule: ribosomal RNA, 3703 nt
Filed under: Triticum aestivum (bread wheat)
Lineage: Eukaryota; Viridiplantae; Streptophyta; Magnoliopsida; Poales; Poaceae
Description: partial small subunit ribosomal RNA
Source: RNAcentral
AGUCAAACUUUCCAUGUAAUGCACGUUUAGUUUCUCCCUAUCGCUCCCCUAAAAAAACUCCCCCGUCUAGGCGGUGACUACGGUCCUUCUCUAAUCGACCGAUCUUUUGAUCGGAUUUGAGUCCUGAUGAGGGUUCUGCGGCCAUGGCGAAUUCCAGAGUCGUCCAACCAAGGGGAAAAGAGCAAGCCUGUGUCACAAACUCCCCUGCCGUCGUGGAAACUAGGGUCGUUCUCUACUCGACCGUUGUUUUGAUCGGAUUUGAGUCCUGAUGAGUGAAGCCAGGGUUCCGCGGCCAUGGCGAAUUCCAGAGUCGUCCAACCAAGGGGAAAGGAGCAAGCCUCUGUCAAUCGUUUCCCUCAAUGCCAUCGAAGUAUGUAUUCAUUUUCCUGUAAUCUCUGUGCUGAUCACCAACAUAUGUAGAUGAUCUUGGUUGCUCUCUGAACACACUUUGAAUCUUAUAGAUCUGUGUGGCUACUCUGUGCUGAUCACACACAUAUGUACGUGAUCUUGAUUGCUCUCUGAACUCACUUUGAAUCUUCUGGAUCUGUGUGGCAUAGCCAAUCAUCAUGCCUUUUAGAAUUACAGAAGUUAUGCAGAUUUGAUUCACAAGUUGUUUUCUCGGGAACAAAAGGUACUCAAAUGAUGCUACUCCCUUGUGAUAUGUAAAAUGAGACAUACAAAAUCUGUUUGCAGUCGUAACUGUAGAGCAGUAGCAAAAUCUGCUUUCAUUCUGCACUCGCCCUUGUGAUCUCCAGUGUACUAACACCUACCCACUUCCCUGCAACAUUGUGCUUUGCAGUUUACUCCUCGGCAUGGCCACACGAUCUGCAACGGUGCAGUCACCGCAUGGUCCCUCAGUAAGAGGUACCCACUACUAACUCAUGCCGUCAAGGGACUGCCUACUCUUGCUGUUCUCACCUGCAGCCCGCCCCACUUAGGCACUUAGUCCAAUGAAAAGUUGAUACAGGUCCUUCGAUCCAAAAUUAUAAACCAGCGAGUAAUGCAUGCAACUAUUUCUUAUUAUCUUCUAUAAACUCCAAAUUUAAUGCUCCCCGCAAAAAAAACUCUAAAUUUAAUGCGCACUAUAUUGAUGCAAAAAUAUGCAACCUCGAUUCAGUUUUCUUUCAUCAAGAUCCUCUUUUUUUCUACUUUGUUGUGGUCUGCACAUAAAAGCAUGGUUAGUCAGAUCCUUUCUAUUCAUGGAUUAUAUGUUUAUAUGCUUAAUUUGUUCAAUUGUUCUUCGCACUUUUGCAGUUUACUGAUGACUGAGUCUGUAGGAUGAUUCCGUUGUAGUCUGAAUUAUCGCUAUUGGAGUGUCCUAACUUCAUUGUUUGUUUAGUCAAGCAGCGUCAUUGUGCACAUAUGUGGAAUUGGGUUUAAUGUUUCCCAUUAAGUUAUAAAUUGUUAGAAGGAAAAAAUUUGAUCGAAGUAGACAGUAUUCUAAACCAAAUGUUCCUGCACUGUCCAUAUAGUUUACCCCCGUCCUUGAUUACAGCUAUCAAUAGAAGGCAUGUAUACACGUAGCUACAUUGUAGCCAUCUAUAUAUAUCCGUUAGACUGUUUCCUUGCAAAUAUUUGAGGUGUUUAUAGGUGCAGCUUAUCCAAAGAUGAGUUGGUGACAGUACGUACAUAAUUGAGAGGAUAACAUGAGUACCUCACCAUUUUGAUAGCCUUCCAUGGUCUAUGUUUUAUGAGCAGAACUUUGUUUUUUUGGUUAUUCUCUGACCCUUUCUAGAUGUAAGGAAAAAUAGUCACGAACAAUGGCCAUUAGAUUUUUUUUUACUAUUUAGGAAAGGCCAUUAAAUAUUACUACACCGUCUGAAAAUGAAUUUUUUUGAAUCUUUGUCAUGCAGUUCGCGCAUUUAUAUGACCGAAGUACUGAUGAUGUCGGUAAGUGUGUUCGUUGAGAUUUUCUAAUUUUGUUAACUGAACAUAUCAGUUUUGUCUCAUAAGGAACCUACCCGGACUGCCAUCUCAUUGCUAAAGAAAUGCAUUGCUCCACUUACAGUUAGCCAUCGCACAGCGGAGCUAAUUAAGUUGUCUUUCCAGGUUUAGCUUAUUCUAAAAGAAUUGUAUUUUCGCAUCUAUGCAUUCUCAUAGUAUAUGAAGCUCAACUAGAACCUUAUAGCCAAUCUAAUGAUAUAUAUUUCUGAACACUGCAAGUCACUCCAAAUUGUCUCUUCUUUUGAAUGCUUCACCUAGCCAAGUAUUGUUCUAUUUUCAGGUCUCAUGCCCUUUUGUUUGGCCUACAUGAGCUCAUGUAUGUCGCGAGGUUCAAUUAAACAUAAUUAGUGAUCCAGUUUCUUUGAUGAUGCAGUGUAUAAUUGAUUAUCAUGCAUGUUUCCACCACCACCAAUUAUAAUGGUACCUUUGUUUAUUCCCCAAAUCUGAAAGAGGAAGGCUUACAAAGUAACUUUCUUUAGCUGAAGAUUGUCACAAACAUUUACAUUUCAUAGCAAAACUGAUAACAUUUACCAACAACUUUUUUUUCAUUCUAGCACCGAGUAAGUGUUUGGGAGUUGGAAUAUAUUUUCACAUAGGAUCUCGGCUGAAAAUGAUUACAUGGAAGUUCCUUUAGUAUUUGGACUUUUAGAGGAUUUAGCCUUUUUUAUUAGGAUAGUAUACUAUGAUAAGUUAGCAGUGGUCUUAACAUAUUUGGGUUAUGCCGAGAUGAACCUCCUGCUCUGCAAAAUAUAGUUCUUGAUAAGACGUGAUAUACAACAUGAUAGAAUUUAAUUUAAUCAAUUAGGUACACAAUUGACUGUUGUGGGUUUGCUCUGGAUUUCCUCUAAAUGACAACCCUUUCUUUUCCAUUUCCUUUUUAUUGUCUACUUAACUUAGUUGCAACACAAUAUUUUUUUAUACUAUAAUAUUGCUUCUUAUAUAAUAAAUCCAAUUUCUCUAUUUACCCUGACAGAUUAUACCCACUGACCUUCUGUUUUCCAUAGUUCAGUUGGUGCUUUUGUAUGUCUUCUCUCAAACAAAAAAAAAAUGAAUUGUCCGUUAUAACUAUUCUAAAUAGUUAUUAAUUUUUAGGAAGCUGAAAUAUUGUUCUGCCAAAAAAUUUGUAAAGUGACAAGAAGGAUUUCAGUGAAUUCAAGAGAGAAAGGAAUUGUAUGCUCACAUCGAUGCAAACACUUCUUAAUGGCAAUCCUUCAAAUACCAUGUAACAUGUUUCUACCACAUCGAAUGUGUUUACGUCUUCUGUGCAAAGAAAUAGUGUUUGUCUGACUUUGUUUGGACCUAUCAUACAUUUUACUUUUGCUAUAUAUGCUUUACAUAAAUACUCUUAACUAUAAUGCUCGAUGGUGUUUUCUUGCUUUUUAUACAGAGUUCAGUUGGAGCCUACACUAAUAGUUUAGAGAUGGGCGAGGGAGCGAGGUGCCUGUUGGGAUGGAACACGUGAAUUCAGUUCAAGAUAUAAUUCAUGCGAGGAAAAAAUUUAUUUAUGUUGAUUCAAGUGUAUAUUUCAAAUCGCUAGGUGGAUGCAUUUUUUAUUGCACAAGCAGUAUUGUACGUGUAAAAAUGUAUAUUUAGAGAGAGGGUUCUUAGUGACACCGAAUGUGAGGUAGCUACUAAUAAUAAAUAGACUCGAGAAGAUUUGAUUUGUGGCUCUUUUUCUUCCUUUUUCUGUAGUACGUACUAGUAUAUAGAACAAAAGGAAGGGGGAAAAAACCAAGGAGGCUACAGAUGAAUGUGUGUG